UGUUUAAUAGUUUAUUUAAAACGUUAAUUUUGUAAGUUAAAAAUAAUAAAUAUUAUUUAAAACAU
RNAcentral lists this transfer RNA (65 nucleotides) under Colletes gigas. Its description in RNAcentral is "tRNA-Thr". Lineage: Eukaryota; Metazoa; Arthropoda; Insecta; Hymenoptera; Colletidae. The record is from RNAcentral.